AGCAGCCGCGGUAAUUCCAGCUCCAAUAGCGUAUAUUAAAGUUGUUGCAGUUAAAAAGCUCGUAGUUGAAUUUCGGGGUCAGUAGAUUGGUCGUGCCACUGGUAUGUACUGGUCUUACUAGCUCCUCCUUCCUGAUGAACCGUAAUGCCAUUAAUUUGGUGUUGCGGGGAGACUGGACUGUUACUUUGAAAAAAUUAGAGUGUUUAAAGCAGGCUAACGCUUGAAUACAUUAGCAUGGAAUAAUGAAAUAGGACGUUCGAUCUUAUUUUGUUGGUUUCUAAGAUUGACGUAAUGAUUAAUAGGGAUAGUUGGGGGCAUUAGUAUUCAAUUGUCAGAGGUGAAAUUCUUGGAUUUAUUGAAGACUAACUACUGCGAAAGCAUUUGCCAAGGAUGUUUUCAUUAAUCAAGAACGAAAGUUAGGGGAUCGAAGACGAUCAGAUACCGUCGUAGUCUUAACCAUAAACUAUAGCCGACUAGGGAUCGGAUGAUGUUAAUUUUUAAUGACUCAUUCGGCGCCUUA
This 520-nucleotide ribosomal RNA is filed under the name uncultured Glomus. RNAcentral's name for it is "SSU rRNA". It matches the Rfam family "Eukaryotic small subunit ribosomal RNA", at positions 569 to 1090 of the family's 1831-position model. The record is from RNAcentral. Lineage: Eukaryota; Fungi; Glomeromycota; Glomeromycetes; Glomerales; Glomeraceae.